Molecule: microRNA, 22 nt
Filed under: Chrysemys picta bellii (western painted turtle)
Lineage: Eukaryota; Metazoa; Chordata; Testudines; Emydidae
Description: Cpi-Mir-725_3p (mature (guide))
Source: RNAcentral
UUCAGUCACUGUUUCUGGUGGA